RNAcentral lists this ribosomal RNA (500 nucleotides) under uncultured bacterium. Its description in RNAcentral is "partial 16S ribosomal RNA". It matches the Rfam family "Bacterial small subunit ribosomal RNA", at positions 30 to 523 of the family's 1533-position model. The record is from RNAcentral.
AUUGAACGCUGGCGGCAUGCCUUACACAUGCAAGUCGAACGGCAGCACGGGAGCAAUCCUGGUGGCGAGUGGCGAACGGGUGAGUAAUAUAUCGGAACGUGCCCAGUCGUGGGGGAUAACGCAGCGAAAGCUGUGCUAAUACCGCAUACGAUCUACGGAUGAACGCGGGGGAUCGCAAGACCUCGCGCGAUUGGAGCGGCCGAUAGCAGAUUAGCUAGUUGGUGAGGUAAAGGCUCACAAAGGCGACGAUCCGUAGCUGGUCUGAGAGGACGACCAGCCACACUGGAACUGAGACACGGUCCAGACUCCUACGGGAGGCAGCAGUGGGGAAUUUUGGACAAUGGGCGAAAGCCUGAUCCAGCAAUGCCGCGUGCAGGAUGAAGGCCUUCGGGUUGUAAACUGCUUUUGUACGGAACGAAACGGUGAGCUCUAAUACAGUUUGCUAAUGACGGUACCGUAAGAAUAAGCACCGGCUAACUACGUGCCAGCAGCCGCAGUAA